This 497-nucleotide ribosomal RNA is filed under the name uncultured bacterium. RNAcentral describes it as "partial 16S ribosomal RNA". It matches the Rfam family "Bacterial small subunit ribosomal RNA", at positions 28 to 507 of the family's 1533-position model. The record is from RNAcentral.
GAUGAACGCUGGCGGCGUGCCUAAUACAUGCAAGUCGAGCGAACGGACGAGAAGCUUUCUUCUCUGAUGUUAGCGGCGGACGGGUGAGUAACACGUGGAUAACCUACCUAUAAUACUGGGAUAACUUCGGGAAACCGCAGCUAAUACCGGAUAAUAUUUUGAACCGCAUGGUUCAAAAGUGAAAGACGGUCUUGCUGUCACUUAUAGAUGGAUCCGCGCUGCAUUAGCUAGUUGGUAAGGUAACGGCUUACCAAGGCAACGAUGCAUAGCCGACCUGAGAGGGUGAUCGGCCACACUGGAACUGAGACACGGUCCAGACUCCUACGGGAGGCAGCAGUAGGGAAUCUUCCGCAAUGGGCGCAAGCCUGACGGAGCAACGCCGCGUGAGUGAUGAAGGUCUUCGGAUCGUAAAACUCUGUUAUUAGGGAAGAACAUAUGUGUAAGUAACUGUGCACAUCUUGACGGUACCUAAUCAGAAAGCCACGGCUAACUACGUG